CACAGCUCUGAGGGUGUGACACAGCUCUGAGGGUGUGGCACAUCAGUUUGCACAGGCAGGACAAGCAGGCCGGGUUGCAGAUUUUUCCUGCUUGUAAGAAAUUAUAUUUGUAGCAGAGGUGGCAUUUUUUUCAUCAGAGUAUCUUCAAGGAAGGGUCCCAGCCAUUGCUGCCUUCCUGACAUCCAGUCAAUGAUGCUUCUGCAGCUGCAAAUACAAUGUAGAGAGCUGCCUCCUUUUGAAACCACUGGUUAUCUGAGAACAAACCUGUCUGGGCCUCAAAGUCCUGCAUGACACAAAGCUACAGCACCUUGAUGUACUCGUUCUCAACACACCUCAGCCAUCUACCUAAGGAAACAGAACAAAUAGUACAGGAUCUCCUGGCUGCUCCUCUGUAAUCCCACCAGUUACACUGCCUGAGGGGCACUCUUAUUUAGGAAAGAUUCAUCAACUGGGGACACAGCUUCACUAUCCAUAAUAAAUGUUCUGGCACCAAUGCCAUCUAUGCAUCUGCUUAAUCAAGGAAGACAGCCUUCAACAUGGAAGGUGGGGAAGGAUAAAAUAUAACAGAAAGGUAUUUUAAUUAAGCUACAAAAAGCUUGCUGUCUGUCUGAUCACUCUCUGAGAGGCCAGUCAGGUGUGGCUGAGGGACAGCAGUAUUGGCUCUGUAACUCCAACUGCAAGCACUGGGAAUGUCAGGAGCAGGUAAUAGUUGCCCCAGGGCAAGUAAUGCUACACUACAUUUUGCCUCAUUUUCAAAGGAGUCUGGUUUUUUGCAGCUACACUGGAGCAUCACCAUGAUUCAAUUGUAGGGGUAAAUAGAGGGUCAGCAAACUCAGACUCCUAAAACCUGGAAUUUACCUUAGAUAUUGGUUUCUCCUUUUUCUCAAAAUUGUAUUGGGCUUUAUUUGCUUGCUUGUCUGUUUUCUUAAGGACAACAGAGGCCAUUUGAAGGUGAACGGAAAAGAUGAUGCAGAAUUCUAUCUAACUGCAAGAAAAAUCGAAGAUUUAGAUGCCUUCUCUAUAUGUAAAAAGAAACCACUGCUGAAACAUUGCUAAUAUCACUAGAUCCAGAAUAAAAUGUUAUGUAUCCCUAUGGUAUUUCAGAGGAAUGAAGGGAUAAAAUGAACAGUUUGCAAGCUAAUUCUCCAUACGUAACAGAGUAUUUGUCCAGAUUUAGACUACAAUCUUCAGGGAAGGCAGGGUGAUGCCUUAAGUUUUAGCUUUAGUAUUUUCCAGAUACUGUACUGCAUUAGUAUAUAACUCUGAACUUCAUAUAAA
This is a long non-coding RNA of Parus major (Great Tit), 1278 nucleotides long. RefSeq lists it as uncharacterized. Lineage: Eukaryota; Metazoa; Chordata; Aves; Passeriformes; Paridae. The record is from RefSeq and is a predicted model, not a curated record. The transcript is spliced from 4 exons.